AAUCUGCCUUUAGGUCGGGGACAACAGUUGGAAACGACUGCUAAUACCGGAUGUGCAGCAAUGUGAAAGAUUUAUUGCCUAAAGAUGAGCUCGCGUCUGAUUAGCUAGUAGGUGUGGUAAUGGCGCACCUAGGCGACGAUCAGUAACCGGUCCGAGAGGAUGACCAGUCACACUGGGACUGAGACACGGCCCAGACUCCUACGGGAGGCAGCAGUGGGGAAUUUUCCGCAAUGGGCGAAAGCCUGACGGAGCAAUACCGCGUGAGG
Molecule: ribosomal RNA, 266 nt
Filed under: uncultured bacterium
Lineage: Bacteria
Description: partial 16S ribosomal RNA
Rfam family: Bacterial small subunit ribosomal RNA
Source: RNAcentral